UUCAGUGCUGCUGAAGUUUGACUUCACCUCCAGAGGCACACUCCAUUGUCUCUUGAGACAGGUGCCAACAACAACUGAUUGGCUGGGGCACAAGACAAGGCCUUUUUGACAGGGUACCCCUAGGUGGCAAUAGCAGCCCAGAAACCACAAACAUUCUUACAGGCUAUGGCAGUCUUCAGGAACGCACCAGCAAGCCUCUCACUGGGAGCGACUGAACAUGUCCUCAACUCGCCAUAUUUUAAAGAGUUGAAAUGACCUUCAGUCAGAGGCUUCUACUUUUGAGUCUUGUAUGUCUCCUGUGCCAAUUUCCAUCUCAGGAGUGUCACCCAAUGGACAAGGAUGUUGAAAGAUUCAUCAUUUAGAUGUCAAGAGUGUUGUUGGGGGGCUGAAGAUUAAAGGCUCCAAAGCUGUCAGCUAUCAUUCCUCAAACAUUUCCAAAAACUUGCUACACUAAAGCUCUAGAGAUUAUCUUGAACCUGAGUACAGCUGAGGAGGUGGCGGCAAACACUUAAUAACAGACAUCUCAUCGCAUUUCCUUGUGGAGAAAAAUAUUUGCUUUGAACAAUGCAAGAAAAACCCCACCUUCCUGUGUAUAAUAAUUAACUGCACGACCAGUUCUACAUCUUUUGAUUAACAUGUUCCUAUUCUCUUAAACAAAUGGAGGCUGCUAAAGUUCUGGGAUCCCAAAAUGGAGAUUAAAGGAACAGCUUUGUUGUU
Molecule: long non-coding RNA, 717 nt
Organism: Podarcis raffonei (Aeolian wall lizard)
Lineage: Eukaryota; Metazoa; Chordata; Lepidosauria; Squamata; Lacertidae
Exons: 2
Source: RefSeq, a predicted model, not a curated record